UCCAGGCUGCACAGGAGGUAGGUAAGCUCCAAAGACUGCAAAAGGAGCUGACCCACCCAGUGCACACCCAAACUCUGCCUUGGCUCUCCCUGCACCUUUUCUCAAAACUUACUCUUUCCUUAUCUGACUGCUUCUAGGGUUCUAGGGUACUUUUUUGGAGAUACUCAGGAAGGCACAGUGCUCUUUUAGAAACAUAUCUAAAGAACAUUAUUUCUGCAUUCCAUUCAGGUGUACACAUCAGCCCAUCAACAUCUAGUUUUAAGUGUCAGUGUCCUAAAAGGUAAUUUGUCCCAUCUCAUGUCUUCAGUUCUUCCACAUACAGUCAAAUAUGUCAGCAACAUAAACCAUUUUUAUUAGCAUCAACAUCAACAGUAACCUUACAAUUACCUGAGUUGCCUAAUCCUGUUCUCAUCACUGUUCCAGGGCCCCAGAAGGUGAACUUUGUCUCAAAUGGAGAAGAGAGCUACUGUGGAGGAUGAAGGAGCUAGUAAUAUGCACAUGGAAUAUGCAGUUGCUGCAGCAUCUGUUUUUAACAAUCUCCUGGUGAGGCAGAUAAACUGCUAAUUCUAUUAAUGUUGCUAUCAAAAUCUGUAAGGUAACUGAAGCUUCCAAUUUAGUGAUUUAUUAUCCUGCACAAGGUAGGCAGAGUGUGUCUUUCAUGUUCCAUAAUCAACACUAGAAGAGCAUUAGACUUGUAAAGAAGAAACUUCCCACUAACCAUUUCUGCUUGCAUAAAACUCUUGAUCAAAAAAAUGAAGUGUCAUUUUCCUUGAUUGAGAUUAAUUUUAAAUGAUAAAGAAUCCAAGUAAAUUCACAUAGGCAUGGACUCCACUGACAUCUUCUUGUGUUGAUCCAAUAGCCUGGACAUUUGAGAGAGGUCAGAAAUACAUUACACAGA
This 898-nucleotide long non-coding RNA is filed under the name Anas platyrhynchos platyrhynchos (common mallard). RNAcentral's name for it is "lncRNA (ENSAPLG00000030161.1)". Lineage: Eukaryota; Metazoa; Chordata; Aves; Anseriformes; Anatidae. The record is from RNAcentral.